AAAACCCUCACGCGCAAUGAAAGUGAACGGAGGUGGGAGCUUUUACGAGCGCACCAUCGACCGAUCCUGAUGUCUUCGGAUGGAUUUGAGUACGAGCGUGGCUGUUGGGACCCGAAAGAUGGUGAACUUUGCAUGGAUAGGGUGAAGCCAGAGGAAACUCUGGUGGAGGCUCGCAGCGGUUCUGACGUGCAAAUCGAUCGUCAAAUCAGUGCAAAGGGGCGAAAGACUAAUCGAACCGUCUAGUAGCUGGUUCCUGCCGAAGUUUCCCUCAGGAUAGCAGUAACGAACUCAGUUUUAUGAGGUAGAGCGAAUGAUUAGAGGCCUUGGGGCUGAAACAGCCUUAACCUAUUCUCAAACUUCGAAUAUGUAAGAAGUCCUUGUUACUUAGUUGAACGUGGACACUCGAAUGCAACGUUACUAGUGGGCCAUUUUUGGUAAGCAGAACUGGCGAUGCGGGAUGAACCGAACGCGAGGUUAAGGUGCCGGAAUGCACGCUCAUCAGACACCACAAAAGGUGUUAGUUCAUCCAGACAGCAGGACGGUGGCCAUGGAAGUCGGAACCCGCUAAGGAGUGUGUAACAACUCACCUGCCGAAUGAACUAGCCCUGAAAAUGGAUGGCGCUCAAGCGUGCUACCCAUACCUCGCCGCCGGGGCAGGAUCGAAGCCCCGGCGAGUAGGCAGGCGCGGCGGUCGGUGA
RNAcentral lists this ribosomal RNA (698 nucleotides) under Collemopsidium sp. s473. RNAcentral's name for it is "LSU rRNA". It matches the Rfam family "Eukaryotic large subunit ribosomal RNA", at positions 703 to 1404 of the family's 3401-position model. The record is from RNAcentral. Lineage: Eukaryota; Fungi; Ascomycota; Collemopsidiomycetes; Collemopsidiales; Xanthopyreniaceae.